CAGGAUGAACGCUAGCUACAGGCUUAACACAUGCAAGUCGAGGGGCAUCAUGGAGUUUGCUUGCAAACUCUGAUGGCGACCGGCGCACGGGUGAGUAACGCGUAUCCAACCUUCCCUAUAGUAGAGGAUAGCCCGGCGAAAGUCGGAUUAAUACUCUAUGUUUUCCGUUGCAGACAUCUAAGAUGGAACAAAGGCUUGCCGCUAUAGGAUGGGGGAUGCGUCUGAUUAGGUAGUCGGCGGGGUAACGGCCCACCGAGCCAUCGAUCAGUAGGGGUUCUGAGAGGAAGGUCCCCCACAUUGGAACUGAGACACGGUCCAAACUCCUACGGGAGGCAGCAGUGAGGAAUAUUGGUCAAUGGGCGAGAGCCUGAACCAGCCAAGUAGCCGUGCAGGACGACGGCCCUAUGGGUUGUAAACUGCUUUUAUGCGGGGAUAAAGUUCACUACGUGUAGUGUUUUGUAGGUACCGCAUGAAUAAGGACCGGCUAAUUCCGUGCCAGCAGCGGC
RNAcentral lists this ribosomal RNA (506 nucleotides) under uncultured bacterium. RNAcentral's name for it is "bacterial SSU rRNA". It matches the Rfam family "Bacterial small subunit ribosomal RNA", at positions 25 to 518 of the family's 1533-position model. The record is from RNAcentral.